AGUAACUGCGAGUGAAGCGGGAAAAGCUCAAAUUUAAAAUCUGGCGGUCUUUGGCCGUCCGAGUUGUAAUCUAGAGAAGUAAUGCCCGUGCUGGACCGUAUACAAGUCUCCUGGGAUGGAGCAUCAUAGAGGGUGAGAAUCCCGUCUCUGAUACGGACUACCAGUGCAUUGUGGUAUGCUCUCAACGAGUCGAGUUGUUUGGGAAUGCAGCUCAAAAUGGGUGGUAAAUUCCAUCUAAAGCUAAAUAUUGGCGAGAGACCGAUAGCGAACAAGUACCGUGAGGGAAAGAUGAAAAGAACUUUGGAAAGAGAGUUAAACAGUACGUGAAAUUGCUGAAAGGGAAACGCUUGAAGUCAGUCGCGUCUGCUGGGAAUCAGCCUCACUUUUGUGUGGUGUACUUUCUGGUGGAUGGGUCAGCAUCAAUUUUGACUGCUGGAAAAAGGUGUGGGGAAUGUGGCAGCUCCGGCUGUGUUAUAGCCUCAUGUCGUAUACAGCAGUUGGGAUUGAGGAACGCAGCACGCCGCAAGGCAGGGUCUUCGGACCACUUUCGUGCUUAGGAUGCUGGCAUAAUGGCUUUAAGCGACCCGUCUUGAAACACGGACCAAGGAGUCUAACAUGCCUGCGAGUGUUUGGGUGGAAAACUCGAGCGCGUAAUGAAAGUGAAAGUUGAGAUCCCUGUCGUGGGGAGCAUCGACGCCCGGACCAGAACUUUUGGGACGGAUCCGCGGUAGAGCAUGUAUGUUGGGACCCGAAAGAUGGUGAACUAUGCCUGAAUAGGGUGAAGCCAGAGGAAACUCUGGUGGAGGCUCGUAGCGGUUCUGACGUGCAAAUCGAUCGUC
RNAcentral lists this ribosomal RNA (839 nucleotides) under Macrolepiota sp. NKZ-2020a. RNAcentral's name for it is "partial large subunit ribosomal RNA". It matches the Rfam family "Eukaryotic large subunit ribosomal RNA", at positions 82 to 906 of the family's 3401-position model. The record is from RNAcentral. Lineage: Eukaryota; Fungi; Basidiomycota; Agaricomycetes; Agaricales; Agaricaceae.